This is a non-coding RNA of Coturnix japonica (Japanese quail), 405 nucleotides long. Lineage: Eukaryota; Metazoa; Chordata; Aves; Galliformes; Phasianidae. The record is from RefSeq and is a predicted model, not a curated record.
UGAUGAGUCUGUAACCACAUGGGGUUGUUCUCUCUAUACAGGGGAAGAGUUGGAUUGUGAAGCGCAGCUACGAGGAUUUCCGAGUGCUGGACAAACACCUCCACCUCUGCAUUUAUGAUCGGCGUUUCUCCCAGCUCGCAGAGCUGCCCCGCUCCGACGUGCUGAGGGACAGCCCGGAGCUUGUCACCCAUACGCUGAUGGCUUACCUGUCCCGUCUCUCAGCCAUAGCAUGCAGUGAGAUCAGCCGUGAGCCUGAGGUGGCGGCGACGGAGGCUGAUAACAUGCGGAAGCCGCAGCUGGAGCGUGCUGUGUCAUCUUUAAACGUACCAGCAAUUGCGGCAGCCCAUGUUAUUAAGAGCCACGUCGCCCAGGGGCCGGAUGAGCUCUCCCUGGAGGUAAGCAGUU